AAUUACUGGGCGUAAAGAGUUCGUAGGCGGUUUGUCGCGUCGUUUGUGAAAACCAGCAGCUCAACUGCUGGCUUGCAGGCGAUACGGGCAGACUUGAGUACUGCAGGGGAGACUGGAAUUCCUGGUGUAGCGGUGAAAUGCGCAGAUAUCAGGAGGAACACCGGUGGCGAAGGCGGGUCUCUGGGCAGUAACUGACGCUGAGRAACG
Molecule: ribosomal RNA, 207 nt
Filed under: Rhodococcus qingshengii
Lineage: Bacteria; Bacillati; Actinomycetota; Actinomycetes; Mycobacteriales; Nocardiaceae
Description: partial 16S ribosomal RNA
Rfam family: Bacterial small subunit ribosomal RNA
Source: RNAcentral